This 253-nucleotide ribosomal RNA is filed under the name uncultured bacterium. RNAcentral's name for it is "partial 16S ribosomal RNA". It matches the Rfam family "Bacterial small subunit ribosomal RNA", at positions 524 to 776 of the family's 1533-position model. The record is from RNAcentral.
UACAGAGGUCUCAAGCGUUGUUCGGAAUCUCUGGGCGUAAAGGGUGCGUAGGUGGCGUGGUAAGUCAGAUGUGAAAGCCCGGGGCUCAACCUCGGAGUUGCACCCGAUACUACCAUGCUAGAGUACUGAAGAGGUGACUAGAAUUCCCGGUGUAGCAGUGAAAUGCGUAGAUAUCGAGAGGAAUACCAAAGGCGAAGGCAGGUCACUGGGCAGUUACUGACACUGAGGCACGAAGGCUAGGGGAGCAAACGGG